RNAcentral lists this ribosomal RNA (509 nucleotides) under Arthrobacter sp. RNAcentral's name for it is "bacterial SSU rRNA". It matches the Rfam family "Bacterial small subunit ribosomal RNA", at positions 94 to 613 of the family's 1533-position model. Lineage: Bacteria; Bacillati; Actinomycetota; Actinomycetes; Micrococcales; Micrococcaceae. The record is from RNAcentral.
AGUGGCGAACGGGUGAGUAACACGUGAGUAACCUGCCCUUGACUCUGGGAUAAGCCUGGGAAACUGGGUCUAAUACCGGAUAUGACUCCUCAUCGCAUGGUGGGGGGUGGAAAGCUUUUGUGGUUUUGGAUGGACUCGCGGCCUAUCAGCUUGUUGGUGGGGUAAUGGCCUACCAAGGCGACGACGGGUAGCCGGCCUGAGAGGGUGACCGGCCACACUGGGACUGAGACACGGCCCAGACUCCUACGGGAGGCAGCAGUGGGGAAUAUUGCACAAUGGGCGCAAGCCUGAUGCAGCGACGCCGCGUGAGGGAUGACGGCCUUCGGGUUGUAAACCUCUUUCAGUAGGGAAGAAGCCUUUCGGGGUGACGGUACUUGCAGAAGAAGCGCCGGCUAACUACGUGCCAGCAGCCGCGGUAAUACGUAGGGCGCAAGCGUUAUCCGGAAUUAUUGGGCGUAAAGAGCUCGUAGGCGGUUUGUCGCGUCUGCUGUGAAAGACCGGGGCUCAAC